GGCUCGGUGGUGGAGUGGUCCACAUCUGCAUAUUAUAAACUGGGAGUAUUGCUCCAGCAGAAGCUGCCUGUUCGAUUCGGGCCCGAGCCA
Non-coding RNA from Mycena latifolia, 90 nucleotides. Lineage: Eukaryota; Fungi; Basidiomycota; Agaricomycetes; Agaricales; Mycenaceae. The record is from the annotation of a GenBank genome assembly.